Molecule: small RNA, 73 nt
Filed under: Drosophila guanche
Lineage: Eukaryota; Metazoa; Arthropoda; Insecta; Diptera; Drosophilidae
Source: RNAcentral
UGCUGCAGCUGCAGCUGCUGCUGCUGCUGGAGUGGUGGCUGCGGCGGCGCUUGCUGCAGCUGGAGCUGCAGUU